ACUCCUACGGGAGGCAGCAGUGAGGAAUAUUGGUCAAUGGACGAGAGUCUGAACCAGCCAAGUAGCGUGAAGGAUGACUGCCCUAUGGGUUGUAAACUUCUUUUAUACGGGAAUAAAGUAUUGCACGUGUGCCUUUUUGUAUGUACCGUAUGAAUAAGGAUCGGCUAA
RNAcentral lists this ribosomal RNA (168 nucleotides) under uncultured bacterium. RNAcentral describes it as "partial 16S rRNA". It matches the Rfam family "Bacterial small subunit ribosomal RNA", at positions 335 to 500 of the family's 1533-position model. The record is from RNAcentral.